GAUGAACGCUGGCGGCGUGCCUAAUACAUGCAAGUCGAGCGAACAGACGAGGAGCUUGCUCCUCUGACGUUAGCGGCGGACGGGUGAGUAACACGUGGAUAACCUACCUAUAAGACUGGGAUAACUUCGGGAAACCGGAGCUAGUACCGGAUAAUAUAUUGAACCGCAUGGUUCAAUAGUGAAAGACGGUUUUGCUGUCACUUAUAGAUGGAUCCGCGCCGCAUUAGCUAGUUGGUAAGGUGACGGCUUACCAAGGCAACGAUGCGUAGCCGACCUGAGAGGGUGAUCGGCCACACUGGAACUGAGACACGGUCCAGACUCCUACGGGAGGCAGCAGUAGGGAAUCUUCCGCAAUGGGCGAAAGCCUGACGGAGCAACGCCGCGUGAGUGAUGAAGGUCUUCGGAUCGUAAAACUCUGUUAUUAGGGAAGAACAAAUGUGUAAGUAACUAUGCACAUCUUGACGGUACCUAAUCAGAAAGCCACGGCUAACUACGUG
Molecule: ribosomal RNA, 497 nt
Filed under: uncultured bacterium
Lineage: Bacteria
Description: partial 16S ribosomal RNA
Rfam family: Bacterial small subunit ribosomal RNA
Source: RNAcentral